UUAUAAUUUUCUUUCUCUUUAUAUAACCACCUGAAUGAUUUGUAAUUUUAAAAACAAAUAGAAUUAAAAUUUUUAAAUGAUGGGUGCUACAAAGUGUGUCUAGAAUGUAUGAGAGCGCUAUUGCUAUCUCUUCAUUCCAGCACUGAAGCUUCUGACACCUAGGAAGUCACUAUGUUGUUGCAGUUACAGCUGACUGUGUUUUCUGUGCAUGGCACAUGGCUGGGGGAAUAAGAAUCACUCCCUGCAAUGAGCAUCUUACUGAGGGCUCACUGUGUGUUGGGCCUAACACUGCACAGAAAUAUAUCCCAAGUCCAGUAAAACUGAACACUCCAGCAUUCCUAGACAUGAAUGAGAGGGGAGGUUUCAUUUGUAUCUUACCUUGAACUAGGUAGGCUGAAGCUUGGAACCAUGGUGGAGCUUAUGGACAGGAGAACUCUAGGAUGGCUGUAUGAUCACAAUAUUAGUGUACAUAUCUAAGCUCUCAAGAUGUUCCUGCGCUUGUGGAGAUAGAUGACAAACACAUGUCCCUCUGGACCCUUGGCACACAAGACAUGCGUGCAGACCCUGUAGGGAGACUGUGGUCUAGAAAAGAGAUGGGAAGGUACGGAAAUGAAAGUCACUCUGGACGGAAGGACUGGGCUAGGCAUUUUCUAAACAUCUACCAUAUGCCAGAAACUAGAUGGCUUUUCUCACCUAUUUCCCAUAAUAACCCCAUCAAGUAGGUAUUACAGUUAAGAAAGCAGAGCCAGAAAUGAUACAUAAAUUACCCUUACUUGAAAGUUGAUCCCAAAUCCUAUUUUUCCAAGAAUCCUCAGAAAAUAUGAGGAUACUGUCAGUUCCAUUCGCAUUAGAACUUCAGCCCUCUGUCUCAUGGAAGAUGAAAUUAAUAAAAGUAAAGGUAAUUUUAGAGAUUGACUAUAAAUUACGUAGGAUUAUCCCAUUUCACAUAUGAAGUCAAGGCCCAAUAGAGUUAUGGACUUUGUCACACAGGGCCCUUUGAAACCAAGCAGGGAUUCAGAUCUGUGCCUCUGUUCUCCUCAGGCCUGCACUUUUCCCUCUACCCAUGUGCCUCAGUCAAAUUCCCCUGGUUUGGGAGAUGAGCUGAAGGUCUUCCUUAUUAAAUUCAUCAAGUGGAAAUGAGUCAGUGUCUUUUAGAAGAGUUUUUGUUGUCCUUCCAAAAGAGCUUUCAUGUUCAUUAUGGUGCCUUUAUCUCUUGGCAGUGACUGAGAUGGGCAUUGUUUUAUAUAGAUGUGGAAGCUAAAGUCCCUGAGAGGUAGUCAUCUGACCAGGGUGACAUGAUAGAUGCUAGAGUUGGGCUCCUUCCCUUUGAAGUGGUUGAGAUGAAUAUCAUUGUUCAUUGGUCUCCAAAGGCAGAGAAGAGUGUUGGGAGAGAUUGUCCGUGGUGAGUGUCCCAGGUGGUGCUUCAUUUGUCUAGAGGGAGGCAUGAAGCUGGCUGCCACCGUGCAAGGUCAGACACGUGUAUCCUGUCUCGUCAGCUGAUGUGUCUUGCCUUUUGUUUUCCUGUGCAGCCUCUCUGCAUGAACGUGAACAGUAACCAGAGCUGCAUUUUAUCUUCCUUUUUUUUUUUUUUUAAUGUCAGCCUGAACUGCUGCCAACCACUGCAGGCCCCAUGCAUUUUUAAUGUACUGAUGAUUAGGAGGCCAUGGGGGUCUCAUUUCAUGUCAUUCAACUGCUGGAGAUGUGUUUUUCUCAGCUUAUUCCCAAUGUAGGCUCCUUUCUGUUUCAGAUACCCAUGGCCCCUCAGCUCUUACUAAGGGGGUAAGAAAGUGAAUUUCUAAGCCUUUGAUUUGCUGAAUAGCUAGGAGAUUUCAGAAGGGGGUGCUUUUCAACUUUCUGAAAAAGAGAUCACGAAUUUCAAGUCAACAAAUAUUUACUGAGCCCUGGCUCUUGUAGUCUAACUCACUGGAAAAAAAACAAAAAACAAAAAAAAAAAAAACUCUACAGUAGGCAUUUGUUAGUGGGGAUGCAGAAGUGAUCCAAGGUCCCUCUCAUGGUCUGGUGACAGGGAAAGAUGAAAACAUGUAUAAAUAUACUAUGUAAGAGCCAUUAAGUGCAGAAGAUUGUAGACAUGAAUGGUUAUUUCUAACCAAGGGGGAAGACUAGCUUAGGAAGGAAGUGCUGUUUGAAGGGAGCCUUUAAAGAGAGGACUUGGAAAGAUACUCAUGUGUCCAUUAUUUAGUCCAGUAAAUGCUGAGCCCAUGCAAGCACAUGCUUCUCUGUACACCGUAGCAGAGGAGACGGGAAAUGAACAGGUGAAGAUAGAUCCUCCCCACACACACACACAAAGACAGUGCCAAGUGCAGAGAACAGUACUGCUUUCCUCAGGUCUGCAAAGAUUGGGACCCUGGGUAUUUCUGAUGAGUGGCGAUGUCAGCAAGGGGCUUGGUAAGUGGUUGUCAGACUUGAGCUCUAUUUUUAAAAAUACAGGCCCCACACUUUGUCAGUGGGUUGCAUCUGGGGCAUGAGAAAUGAAAACCAAGUAUGAUUUGAGAGUUUUCAGCAUUACAGCUUCAAGAAUAUUACUUGAUGUUAACUGACCAAGGGAAGGGAUUGUGGAUAAAGGGCUGAGAAAGAAGAUCAAGGAUUUGUUGUUCACAUAUUCAGACUGAACUUUAUUAUCAGGCAUCCAAGUAGAGAUACAGAAUCAGUUUGAAGUGUUUGUUGUUGGUUUUUUUUAUGGAGGAGAAAAAGGUAUUUGACAGUUCUCAGGGCCCUGUUGCUUCCUAGGCAAACAUGCUAUCACUUAGGCUUCACCCCCAGGCCUGUUGGUUUUGUUAUGGGUCUUUUUGAUUGGCUUGGUCUCAAACUAUGACUCCCUUUCUGCCUUUCAAUAGAUAAUUAAAUGUAUAAUAUUUAAGUCUGUAUUUUAGGAUUGAGCUCUGGGCUUGCAAUAUCAAUUUUAGAGUUGCCAGCUAACAAAAAAACACUUAAGUUAAAAAAAACACAAACAUAAUUUAGAUCCAAGGGAGUGAUCAUGGGUAGAGAAUAAUAAAGUACCAAAGACAGACAGGAGGUUUUCCAGUGUUAUGAGGUCAGAAAGAUGAAGAGCCAUCAACAACAAUGGAGAUUGAUUGGUGGCUGGAAGCUACAAGGACAACUGAGUGAGUGUGGGGUCCUGGAAGCCAGGUGAAGGAAGAUUUGUAUGGAGUUAGCAUUCACUGUUGAGAACAUCUCAUAUACUUCAUGUCAACUCAACACCACAUUCCUUUACCAUAGACUUAGACUGGAAAGCAAGAGCUUAGGGAAGAGAAACAACCUCUCUAGGAAUAGAGUGUUGAGACAGAAUCUUACUGUGCAGACUAGGCUGACCUUGAGUUUGUCAU
Molecule: long non-coding RNA, 3344 nt
Organism: Perognathus longimembris pacificus (Pacific pocket mouse)
Lineage: Eukaryota; Metazoa; Chordata; Mammalia; Rodentia; Heteromyidae
Exons: 3
Source: RefSeq, a predicted model, not a curated record